Molecule: ribosomal RNA, 253 nt
Filed under: uncultured bacterium
Lineage: Bacteria
Description: partial 16S ribosomal RNA
Rfam family: Bacterial small subunit ribosomal RNA
Source: RNAcentral
UACGAAGGGGGCUAGCGUUGUUCGGAAUUACUGGGCGUAAAGCGCGCGCAGGCGGUCCUUCAAGUCAGAGGUGAAAGCCCAGAGCUCAACUCUGGAAUGGCCUUUGAGACUAGAGGACUUGGGUACGGGAGAGGAGAGUGGAAUUCCGAGUGUAGAGGUGAAAUUCGUAGAUAUUCGGAAGAACACCAGUGGCGAAGGCGGCUCACUGGCCCGUUACCGACGCUCAGGCGCGACAGCGUGGGGAGCAAACAGG